RNAcentral lists this ribosomal RNA (538 nucleotides) under Pseudoalteromonas sp. Its description in RNAcentral is "bacterial SSU rRNA". It matches the Rfam family "Bacterial small subunit ribosomal RNA", at positions 375 to 907 of the family's 1533-position model. Lineage: Bacteria; Pseudomonadati; Pseudomonadota; Gammaproteobacteria; Alteromonadales; Pseudoalteromonadaceae. The record is from RNAcentral.
GCGCAGCCUGAUGCAGCCAUGCCGCGUGUGUGAAGAAGGCCUUCGGGUUGUAAAGCACUUUCAGUCAGGAGGAAAGGUUAGUAGUUAAUACCUGCUAGCUGUGACGUUACUGACAGAAGAAGCACCGGCUAACUCCGUGCCAGCAGCCGCGGUAAUACGGAGGGUGCGAGCGUUAAUCGGAAUUACUGGGCGUAAAGCGUACGCAGGCGGUUUGUUAAGCGAGAUGUGAAAGCCCCGGGCUCAACCUGGGAACUGCAUUUCGAACUGGCAAACUAGAGUGUGAUAGAGGGUGGUAGAAUUUCAGGUGUAGCGGUGAAAUGCGUAGAGAUCUGAAGGAAUACCGAUGGCGAAGGCAGCCACCUGGGUCAACACUGACGCUCAUGUACGAAAGCGUGGGGAGCAAACAGGAUUAGAUACCCUGGUAGUCCACGCCGUAAACGAUGUCUACUAGAAGCUCGGAGCCUCGGCUCUGUUUUUCAAAGCUAACGCAUUAAGUAGACCGCCUGGGGAGUACGGCCGCAAGGUUAAAACUCAAAUG